UUUAGAUAAUCAACUACUUUUCACAAAACUAGUUUGUGGAACACAUUGAAAAAAUCACCGAUUUUCCUAAUUUCUCUACGUGACUUAGGAUUUAUAAGUAUGUAGUUUAAUACACAGUUGAUAUUUAGCCAAAUUUACAUAACUCCUUUC
Caenorhabditis elegans is the source of this 150-nucleotide non-coding RNA. NCBI's taxonomy places the organism in Eukaryota, Metazoa, Nematoda, Chromadorea, Rhabditida, Rhabditidae. The record is from Ensembl.